UGUGGCCCCAAGUCAGGCGAGGCCACCCGCC
Molecule: ribosomal RNA, 31 nt
Filed under: Boesenbergia rotunda
Lineage: Eukaryota; Viridiplantae; Streptophyta; Magnoliopsida; Zingiberales; Zingiberaceae
Also listed under: 1 other name
Description: partial 26S ribosomal RNA
Source: RNAcentral